CAGUAAGGAAUAUUGGUCAAUGGGGGCAACCCUGAACCAGCCAUGCCGCGUGCAGGAAGACGGCCCUACGGGUUGUAAACUGCUUUUAUUCGGGAAUAAACCCUUUUACGUGUAAGAGGCUGAAUGUACCGAAGGAAUAAGGAUCGGCUAACUCCGUGCCAGCAGCCGCGGUAAUACGGAGGAUCCAAGCGUUAUCCGGAUUUAUUGGGUUUAAAGGGUGCGUAGGCGGCUUAUUAAGUCAGGGGUGAAAGACGGUGGCUCAACCAUCGCAGUGCCUUUGAUACUGAUGAGCUUGAAUACACUAGAGGUAGGCGGAAUGUGACAAGUAGCGGUGAAAUGCAUAGAUAUGUCACAGAACACCAAUUGCGAAGGCAGCUUACUAUGGUGUCAUUGACGCUGAGGCACGAAAGCGUGGGGAUCAAACAGGAUUAGA
Molecule: ribosomal RNA, 433 nt
Filed under: uncultured bacterium
Lineage: Bacteria
Description: bacterial SSU rRNA
Rfam family: Bacterial small subunit ribosomal RNA
Source: RNAcentral